CCAUAGCAACGAACAACGGUUUGCGCACAUUGAAUUAGACAAUCUUCCAUAAAUCCUGAAGUCAAUGAAUUAUUGACUUUUUAUCCGUUGUUUUUAUCCGUUCGUUUGUCUUCACAGGUUGUCGGUGUAAAUUAAGUUUGAACACAAGACAUUGACCCUAGUUGUGUUUCGUUUCCUUGGUUACGGGGCCUUCCAAAUCUGGCGUCCGCGCGAAGGAAAACAAACUUCGACUGUCCGGAAAACAGCGAAAACGGAGAACUCGCACCGCCUCGGAAGCCCCUGAUGGAAGGAUCCCGUCUUCGGACGGAAAUUUAAAAUAAUCAGAUUUCGAAGAAAUGGACGCGACCAAAAAGCCGCUUCGGAUUUCCCCAGAACUCGGGGUCUACGCGGAGAAACAUGGAAUAUUUCAGAUUCUGCAGAGAAUGCUGCAGUGUCUGCUCGUGGAUAAACCAAACGAUCCCAUUCAGUAUAUGAUAGAUCAUCUUAAAAGAGAAAAUGAUGAAGUUCCCCGGAUUUUUCUACUGGGUCCACCUGCUUCAGGGAAGCUUACUGUUGCUAAAUUGCUGUGUGACAAGAUCAAUACGAAUGUUCUUACUUUGGACAAUAUGUUAGCAAGUGAAAAAUCCGAUGUUGCUAAAAAAAUUCACAGAUUAAACAAUGGAAGUAAGGAAAUUCCCAAUACACUAUGGGCAAAGCUGAUCCUAGAACGGCUGUCAAAAAUGGACUGCAUCAAACGGGGUUGGAUCCUAGUGGGUUUCCCAAAAACCAGAGAACAGGCACUUGCAUUACAAGAAAUGGGAAUUGCGCCGGAACAUGUUGUUAUACUCGAUGCUCCUGAUACCGUGUUAAUUGAGAGGAAUCUUGAGAAAAGGAUUGACAUGACAACAGGAGAAAUAUAUCAUACAACUUUCAACUGGCCAACCUCCAGCAAAAUACGAAAGCGCCUAGUGAAACCUGGUGGAACAUCAGAGGAGGAAACUGCAAAGAGAUUAUUAGAAUACCGCAGAGUGAUUCAUGGGGUACUGAAUAGCUACAGUAAAAAAUACCAUAUUAUAAAUGCGGAUCAGCCCAGUGUCGAUGUCUUUUCGCAGACUUUAAGCCAUGUCCAAAGUCGACAUCGAUCCAACGCCCCCUACACGCCAAGAAUUAUUCUUCACGGUCCCCCUGGCAGUGGCAGGAGCCUGCAGGCAGCACUGAUUGCGGAAAAAUAUGGAAUUGUUAAUGUUUCCUGUGGACAGUUACUGAAAGAGCCUGUCGCUGCUGAGACAAGAUUCGGUGAAGCCAUUAAACCCUAUGCUGAAAGUAGGCAGCCAGUUCCAGAUGUUAUGGUCUUAAAAUGUCUGUCGCGACGUCUGAGCAAACUGGACUGUUCUACACGGGGCUGGGUCAUGCAUGGAUUUCCUCAAGAUGUGAGCCAGGCUGAAAUGCUAAAUGAUGCAGGAUUUAUUCCAAACAGGGUGUUUUUCCUGGAUGUUCCUGAUGAUGCUGUCAUUGAGCGUCUCGCAAUGAGGAUGACUGAUCCAAUUACAGGUGAAAGAUAUCAUUCCAUAUACAAACCAGCACCAACCAGUGAGGUUUACAGUCGCUGCAAAAUAAAUCCCAAGGAUUCUGAAGAAAAUGUGGGAAAAGCACUUGAAGUUUAUCAUGCCAAUGUGAGCGAGUUGGAACAAUUCUACAGCCCUGUAAUCCAUGUCAAUGCAGACCAGGAUCCUUACACAGUGUUUGAAUACAUUGAGAGCUGUGUUGUCAAACCACCGUCAAAAAACCCAAAUGCCUUUGUUUGAGUGAUAUUGUAGCUAAGAAACUACCAUGAUGUUUUUCCUACAGUUUAGAUUCUGCACACUUAAAUACAGCUAAUAGUCAUUUGUUUAACAGUAAAUUUAAUUCUCAACUUCUCCUAAAUAUACACUGGGUUUGCAUUAUUGUGUCAGAUCAUGCCUUAUAACAUCUCCAGAUGUGUGUUAAUCCAAUGUAAGUUAUAUUAGAGAAAGAGGUUGAUUUUUAUACAAAUCUCUGUCAAACAACUUCGGUUGAAAAAAUAGCUCAUACGUCUUCUUGAUCUGAGAUUGCAGAUGUAACAAUGUUAUCUACAAGACUAUGGAGCUGAUGUAACUUAACCUAUGACUGUGAUGAUCUUCUGUUCAUUCUGAGUAUUGGAUUCAACAGGAUGAACCUUUGAGAAAAUGUUUUUGAUGAUGCAAGGACUUCCAGGUCCACUUACGUAAUCAGUUAGCUCUUUAUCAGAUAGGCAACAAAGGUAGGACAUCAUUAAAUAGGAUACAGUCAAAGCUGAUCCUGUGCCAGAAAGCCUGUGGUUUUCACACUCAAGAUUAAACAGCUUCCGGCUUAUGGAUGACGCUAAAGAUGCUUUUAAUUUGUACUGAACACUUUGAUCAGCUCCCGAAAGCAAGCACACAUUUCCUACAAGUUGAAGUUUGAGCUUGUGUGUAAGUAUCUCAGGAUACUGGGAUAAAAACAGAACAAGAUGGAAAUAGUUAACAUUUCAAGUUGAUAGCCUUCAUCAAAACUGAAAAGGAAUGUUUUUCUCUGAGGUCUGUAGCCUUCCUGACACGCCUUCCCCUCUCCUCCCUUCUGAUGUCUGGUGUUCUUCCCUUCCUAAAUAGGGCGUUGCCCUUCAUUGACAUUGGACCCAAGUUCUUGUAAUUAUACCCCUGUUGUUACCUGGACCCUUCUUUCUAGGUACAUGCUCCUCUCUGCUACCUAGAGAACCAAUUUACUAAGCCCCUCUUUGCCCACUUCCCCUUCUACAAGGCUAAAACGAUGAUUUGGGAUAGCCAAAAGUAUGUAGCUGGUAUUUUGUAUACGUAGUGUACAGCUAAAUAUGGAUAACUCCCCACUUUUUAUCCACAAUCCUGCAGGUAGACAAUUUCUGAACAUGUGGCAACCUAUUCACAGCCCUUUUUGUUUAACCUAAACCCUUCUUAAGCUUGUAAGGCAUCUUUAGUUGGCAGGAGAGCCUUGAUGAUGAACAAGAACGGCUUCUUUAAAUUGACAUCAAGUUUUCAUUUCUAAUUUCGGGAAUGCUGAAAAUUCAGCUCCACAGCUUGAACACAAAAAGCCAAAGAUUGAUGCUUCUAUGUUGCGCUUGUACACAUGUACAAGAUAGAAAUUGGCAUUUCAAAAUUGGUUAAAGAACAUGCUUGAUGACAGGGUGGCUGCAUCAGCCAUGUCAGAUCAGACAUCUGGUACAGCCAUGAGGAGAGUAGCACAGCAGGUCAAAGCUCUUGCUGUAAUAGAGACCUGAUUCUUCAGUUUGAAUAUGGGUUCUUUGUAGGCAAAUUAUGUUGAUGGAGCGUUCACUUGGCAGCUGAGAACUGAGGAAGUAUUGCACAGUCAAAGGUGUCAAUUUCAGAUGAGACAUUAAACUGAAUCUCUGUUGUUUCAGGCAAACAUAAACGAUACUGUUUUGAAAAAUCAGCAGAGUUGCCACAUUUGUCCUGACCAAUCCCUGUCUCAGUCUACAAUACAAAAAUAGAUUAUCUGGCCAUUACUGCAUUGCUGGUUGUGUAAUUUUAGUCUGCAGAAGUUACAGCAGCAACUAUGUUUCAAAAUACUUAAUUGGGUGUAAAAUUCUAGAGAUAUUCUCUGGUUAUAAAACACACUUCAUAAGUGUCGGUCUUUCUUUUAGUAUAGAAAUACAAGAGGUGAGAGAUGUUUUGACUGUGUUUUCAGUCUGACAAUGCUUUAAAAAUGGAACAUAAAAAUUUAUGGCCCCAUUUCCCCUUGUAAUCCACCUGUCAGAAUUUUUACUGGGGCUAUCACAUGGCUGCCUCAGAUCCCCAGCUAUUUCACAUGCAAUAUCCAGCUGAAUUCAAGAGAUUGGCAGCUUUAAGAUUUGAACCUGGAACCAUGUAUGUUCAGAACUUCUGUGGUUUUGCUUUCCGUUAUUGGUACUUAUUUUUAUUAAUUUCACUAAGACCUAAGUAACAAUGCAAAAUAAGAGUAGAGGGUAUCAAAGAAACAGAAAAUAUAUGGUGUAUAUUUGUUAUUUAAUUGUAUGCUGCUUUUAUCGAUGGAGUUUCCUCUCUUACUGACACUGCUGUGCCAGCUGAUGAUAAAAUACAUUAGAUAUACCAAUUAUGCAUUGUUAUUUUCUUAAUGACAGCACUUUUUUGUAGUAAACCUGCUUUAUGCAGUGUCUCUGUUUCCUGCCCCUACUUUGGUGAGUGCACAGAUGAAUGCAAACAAGGAAUUGUGCUCUCUGUGACUGCUUCAUUCCAUGUUGAACAUGCAGACUCAGGUCAGUGAGUGACCUCGGGGAUCCACUGGGAACGAGCACUGAGAACAAGUGCUGAGCUGGGGGGCAGCAGAACAUGUUAAUACUCUUGUUUAACGAUCCCUUAGAAAUGGAGAACAACAGAGAUUGGUCUUUGUUAUAACUGUACCGAGUCAGCCUAAUUACUGUUCUGGGUAUUAAAAGGCAGACAAUCUAUGGCAAAUGCUUAAUUUACAAAGCAGUUGUUUUGUUUUAACUCUGUGCAGAGUGUAAUAAAUGAUAAAACAACAGUAUAAUCUUUAGAUUAUUAAAAAUGCCAUUUUCUGAUAUAAAUAUAUGCUUGAAAAUUUAAAAAAACAAAUUGGAAAUUAUAAAACAAGAAAUAAUGAUCUAAGGCUACAUUUUACAUGGACCUCAAGAGGAUGAACCACCUGCCUUCACGAAAUAGUCUUGUUGUGUGCUUGAGCAGAGAUCUCUCCCUGAGAGGAUUCCAUAACUUGCUUGCUCCACAAAAAGGAAAAUACAGUAAAUCCAAUUUUCUAUAGAAAACAAUCUUUAAAGCUGUAUUUCGGCUCUAUUUACUUUUAUAGCUUGACGUAUAUUCUCUAUCGGUGAGACGCUGUACAUGGCCUACCAAUGUAUGGAAGCUUGUUAAGGGAGAGAGGACUUAAGGGCAGAUUGCUAAGAAAUAAAUGAUUCAUUUAUUUCAAUUUAACAGUGCAUUGUUGUAAUUGAACAGCAGAAAUUCUUGUGUAGAUGCAACAGCUAAUUCAAAAUAAUUACCAAC
This is an RNA transcript of Stegostoma tigrinum, 5024 nucleotides long. It is a transcript of the gene named adenylate kinase 8, with no coding region annotated. The record is from RefSeq and is a predicted model, not a curated record. Lineage: Eukaryota; Metazoa; Chordata; Chondrichthyes; Orectolobiformes; Stegostomatidae. The transcript is spliced from 14 exons.